Paenibacillus sp. D9 is the source of this 183-nucleotide regulatory RNA element. It matches the Rfam family "Lysine riboswitch aptamer". From Rfam's summary of the family: Riboswitches are metabolite binding domains within certain messenger RNAs that serve as precision sensors for their corresponding targets. Allosteric rearrangement of mRNA structure is mediated by ligand binding, and this results in modulation of gene expression. The record is from Rfam. NCBI's taxonomy places the organism in Bacteria, Bacillati, Bacillota, Bacilli, Caryophanales, Paenibacillaceae.
CGGUGAGGUAGAGGCGCGGCGUUUAACAGUUUGUAGCGGAGCUCGAGAAGGCGAUGAGGCUAUGAAGAAGGAAAUGCCGCCGAAGUGGGUAAUACGCUCCGUAUUGCUUGCUGGGUCUGCAGUUAAGAGCUGCAGGACUGUCUCAAUGAACCUCCCCGUUCAUUGAGUUGAGCUAUCUUCCCA